AUUGUGGAAACUAUUGUAUGAAAUGGUAGACCAUAUUAAGUCAUGAAGAUAAGAUUUUCUUGAUACUUUUUUUUCGUGUAUACAUCAGUUUAUUUUAGAAAGGAAAUAUUGUGUAUUUUUUUUUUAAAGGAAUUAAUUUUGCAAAGUAUUAAUUGUCACCGAAGCAGAAGCAAGGUCCACAAACAUAAUUUUCAAUGGCCGGUUGCUGCGGUUUGAUAUUUUUAUAGGUAUUGCCGUAUUGGAAUACAUUUAUAUCUGUCUAAUAUUCAUAUAAAAUAUAUAUACAUUUCUAAUAAGAUGCAAGAGAAUCGAGGUAAGAAACAUUAUGUCCAGCUAAUUUAUUAAGAUAUGUGGAGUAAUAUAUACCACC
RNAcentral lists this long non-coding RNA (370 nucleotides) under Capsella rubella. RNAcentral's name for it is "long non-coding RNA (CRUB_LNC002923)". Lineage: Eukaryota; Viridiplantae; Streptophyta; Magnoliopsida; Brassicales; Brassicaceae. The record is from RNAcentral.